CAGUCGCCGCGGGAAUACGAAGGGUGCAAGCGUUAAUCGGAAUUACUGGGCGUAAAGCGUGCGCAGGCGGUUUGUUAAGUCUGCUGUGAAAUCCCCGGGCUCAACCUGGGAAUGGCAGUGGAUACUGGCAAGCUAGAGUGUGUCAGAGGAUGGUGGAAUUCCCGGUGUAGCGGUGAAAUGCGUAGAGAUCGGGAGGAACAUCAGUGGCGAAGGCGGCCAUCUGGGACAACACUGACGCUGAGGCACGAAAGCGUGGGGAGCAAACAGGAUUAGAUACCCCCGUAGUCCCUGUCUCUUAUAC
Molecule: ribosomal RNA, 301 nt
Filed under: uncultured bacterium
Lineage: Bacteria
Description: partial 16S ribosomal RNA
Rfam family: Bacterial small subunit ribosomal RNA
Source: RNAcentral